AACGAACGCUGGCGGCAGGCUUAACACAUGCAAGUCGAGCGCCCCGCAAGGGGAGCGGCAGACGGGUGAGUAACGCGUGGGAACGUACCUUUUGGUUCGGAACAACUCCGGGAAACUGGAGCUAAUACCGGAUAAGCCCUAACGGGGAAAGAUUUAUCGCCGAAAGAUCGGCCCGCGUCUGAUUAGCUAGUUGGUGAGGUAACGGCUCACCAAGGCGACGAUCAGUAGCUGGUCUGAGAGGAUGAUCAGCCACACUGGGACUGAGACACGGCCCAGACUCCUACGGGAGGCAGCAGUGGGGAAUAUUGGACAAUGGGCGCAAGGCGGAUCCAGCCACGCCGCGUGAGUGAUGAAGGCCUUAGGGUUGUAAAGCUCUUUUGUCCGGGAAGAUAAUGACUGUACCGGAAGAAUAAGACCAGGCUAACUUCGUG
RNAcentral lists this ribosomal RNA (431 nucleotides) under uncultured bacterium. RNAcentral's name for it is "partial 16S ribosomal RNA". It matches the Rfam family "Bacterial small subunit ribosomal RNA", at positions 29 to 507 of the family's 1533-position model. The record is from RNAcentral.